GUGAAUCAUCGAAUCUUUGAACGCACAUUGCGCCCUUUGGUAUUCCUUAGGGCAUGCCUGUUCGAGCGUCAUCUCACCACUCAAGCACAGCUUGGUGUUGGGCGCUGUCCCUAGCCUUUCGAGGACCGGGACUCGCCUCAAAAGCAUUGGCGGCCUGUCAUUUGGCUUCGAGCGCAGCAGACCAAGCGCGUUAGGGCCCUGGCACAGGUGAUCCAGCAAGACCACACCUCAGAUUUGACCUCGGAUCAGGUAGGGAUACCCGCUGAACUUAAGCAUAUCAAUAAGCGGAGGA
RNAcentral lists this unclassified non-coding RNA (292 nucleotides) under Dothideomycetes sp. Its description in RNAcentral is "partial contains 5.8S ribosomal RNA, internal transcribed spacer 2, and large subunit ribosomal RNA". The stretch from base 1 to 71 matches the Rfam family "5.8S ribosomal RNA", at positions 84 to 154 of the family's 154-position model. The record is from RNAcentral. Lineage: Eukaryota; Fungi; Ascomycota; Dothideomycetes.